This 353-nucleotide ribosomal RNA is filed under the name uncultured microorganism. RNAcentral's name for it is "bacterial SSU rRNA". It matches the Rfam family "Bacterial small subunit ribosomal RNA", at positions 9 to 364 of the family's 1533-position model. The record is from RNAcentral.
GAGUUUGAUCGUGGCUCAGAUUGAACGCUGGCGGCAUGCCUUACACAUGCAAGUCGAACGGCAGCAUGAUCUAGCUUGCUAGAUUGAUGGCGAGUGGCGAACGGGUGAGUAAUACAUCGGAACGUGCCCUGUAGUGGGGGAUAACUAGUCGAAAGAUUAGCUAAUACCGCAUACGACCUGAGGGUGAAAGUGGGGACCGCAAGGCCUCAUGCUAUAGGAGCGGCCGAUGUCUGAUUAGCUAGUUGGUGGGUAAAGGCCACCAAGGCGACGAUCAGUAGCUGGUCUGAGAGGACGAUCAGCCACACUGGGACUGAGACACGCCCAGACUCUACGGAGGCAGCGGUGGGGAAUUU